Long non-coding RNA from Siniperca chuatsi (mandarin fish), 1251 nucleotides. RefSeq lists it as uncharacterized. The record is from RefSeq and is a predicted model, not a curated record. The transcript has 3 exons. NCBI's taxonomy places the organism in Eukaryota, Metazoa, Chordata, Actinopteri, Centrarchiformes, Sinipercidae.
AAUGGAUUGAUUGAACUUUCAUGGAACACUUCCAUUCAAAGGAAUCAAGGAAACUUGAAAUAGUUUAUUACUGAACUGAAAUUCCACACUGUGUUCUUCUAAAUGUUGAAUUAUUGUUGGAAAUGGAGAGUCUUGUAUUUACACAGUCAGUCCAGUUUUCAUGUCAACCUGUUCUCUGGCUGCAGCUGCAAACUGACCAAAACUAACAAUGUGUUUGAGACCCACGGGGGCGUAUACGCUCCCAAACAUCUUGUUGUCUUUAGAGCGUCAUUACUCCUCAACAGUAGCAAAACUAAUAUGAAAAGUUGUAAAAAAAAAAAAAAAAACUAACUAAAAAAAAAAACGUGGCUAAUCUCACCCUCUGUCCAGCACUUCGCUCAGUCUUUCUGUGUGUAUAUCUUUAUAUACAGUCUAUGGUGUAUGUCAGUCAGUUCUCAUCCACCGUCUUUGUUGGUGAUGUAAGAGCCACAUAUCUGAAUCAGACACUUCUAUUUGCUACAGUGGAUGAUGUCACUGCCAAUCAGAAUGUCUGAUUUGAAGAAGCUGACAAUGGCGACUCUGAGCCCGAGUUGAGCUAUUCAGAGGAUGAGAGAAAUUUCACCAAUGUAUAAAUCCUUACAAGGACAAUGUGGAAGCUGACAAGGUGGGCCACCAACAGAGUGGAAGGAGGAGGAGAAGAGGAAGGCCGUCUCAGCCUGACCAACCACAGAUAUCCCCUCCGGGACCAGGAAGAAUACCCCAUUCUGCUGCAAGAGUGUGCGUGUGUGUGAGUGGAUGUGCUGGCAAGUAAUGGAGAACAGGUAGACACCACAGAUUGGACCAACAGAGUUGAUUGCAGCCACACGAUUGGUCCACCGGAUGACAUCAGCCCUUUUGAACCCCAGCGGUCACUUUGCCAUUGCCAGCAUGUGCCAGAGCUAGACCUGUGUAUGCAUUGUGUAUGUGAAUCUUUGUGAGUAGAGAAAUGGCAACUUAGUGAUUCUGAACUUUGUUUGUGGCUAACUUUGAUUCGCUGACCUCAGCCAUUGUUUGUUGUAAAUAGUGUUAUCUUGUGUAAUCAGAAAUUUGUAUAUAUUGUCCAUGCAAUUAGCAGUACAAGUAGGAGUGAGAAGCCCUUUUUGUUUAAAUACCUUGUUUUCUCCUGUUUUUGGUGAUAGAAGCCUAGGUUAGCGCUUUGUCUUUUCUUUACAUUUUGUUUUGGUUAGGGAAGUUUUAGGAUUUGCCAAGAGUCGUUUUGUUUGUUUGUUGUUU